RNAcentral lists this ribosomal RNA (817 nucleotides) under uncultured bacterium. RNAcentral describes it as "bacterial SSU rRNA". It matches the Rfam family "Bacterial small subunit ribosomal RNA", at positions 8 to 813 of the family's 1533-position model. The record is from RNAcentral.
AGAGUUUGAUCCUGGCUCAGGAUGAACGCUAGCGGCAGGCUUAACACAUGCAAGUCGAGGGGCAUCGGGAGGGAAGCUUGCUUUCCUUGCCGGAGACCGGCGCACGGGAGAGUAACACGUAUGCAACCUGCCCUCUUCGGGGAGACAACCUUCAAAAAGGGAGGCUAAUCCCGCGUAUAUCGGUUUCGGGCAUCCGAGAUCUGAGGAAAGGAUUCAUCGGAAGAGGAUGGGCAUGCGGCGCAUUAGCUAGUCGGCGGGGUAACGGCCCACCGUGGCGACGAUGCGUAGGGGUUCUGAGAGGAAGGUCCCCCACACUGGUACUGAGACACGGACCAGACUCCUACGGGAGGCAACAGUGAGGAAUAUUGGUCAAUGGGCGGGAGCCUGAACCAGCCAAGUCGCGUGAGGGAAUAAGGCCCUAUGGGUCGUAAACCUCUUUUGUCGGGGAACAAAAGCGGGGACGCGUCCCCGUCUGAGUGUACCCGAAGAAAAAGCAUCGGCUAACUCCGUGCCAGCAGCCGCGGUAAUACGGAGGAUGCGAGCGUUAUCCGGAUUUAUUGGGUUUAAAGGGUGCGUAGGCGGUAUGGUAAGUCAGCGGUAAAAGCCCGGGGCUCAACCCCGGCGAGCCGUUGAAACUGCCGUUGCUAGAGAGGAAGAGAAGUAGGCGGAAUGCGCAGUGUAGCGGUGAAAUGCUUAGAUAUUGCGCAGAACUCCGAUUGCGAAGGCAGCCUACCGGCUUCUGUCUGACGCUGAGGCACGAAAGCGUGGGUAUCGAACAGGAUUAGAUACCCUGGUAGUCCACGCAGUAAACGAUGAA